Molecule: ribosomal RNA, 799 nt
Filed under: Dendropsophus parviceps (Sarayacu treefrog)
Lineage: Eukaryota; Metazoa; Chordata; Amphibia; Anura; Hylidae
Description: partial 16S ribosomal RNA
Source: RNAcentral
GCGGCUGCGCCACUGGGAUACCCUGAUCCAACAUCGAGGUCGUAAACCCACUUGUCGAUAGGGGCUCUUGAAGUGGAUUGCGCUGUUAUCCCUAGGGUAACUUGGUUCGUUGCUCAAUUUCUUGGGUCAAUGUAUGUCAGUUUGUUGGUGCUUGAAGUCGUGGCUUUGGGCUCAAGAAAGGUUCUUUUCAAUGUGGAGGUUAGUUUUUGCUCCGCGGUCACCCCAACCUCAAACUAAUAGUCAUUAAGGCUAUAGUGAGUGUCGUAGUUCUGAAACAUGGAGUGGAUGGGCCAGUGCUAUAAUAGUUUAAAGCUCCAUAGGGUCUUCUCGUCUUAUAUUAUUAUGCCCGCUUCUUCACGGGGAGAUCAGUUUCAUUGAUUAGAAAAAGGAGACAGCAUAACCCUCGUGAUGCCGUUCAUACUAGUCCCCAUUUAAAGAACAAGUGAUUACGCUACCUUCGCACGGUUAGGAUACCGCGGCCGUUGAACUAGGUCACUGGGCAGGCUAGACCUCUUAUAUUUAAGCAAGAGGCGAUGUUUUUGGUAAACAGGCGAGGUUAAUGUUUGCCGAGUUCCUUCUUUUUCUUUAAAUCUUUCUUGAGAUGUUCUUGUGUUAGGUUAACGUUUGGAAAAACAGGGUUUUCUAGAGGUGUUACUGUUUUGUGCUCACUAGCGUUUAAUUGUCAGUGGUUUGUCCUUUCUGACUUACACUUACAUUAAAGAGAAGGUCAUCUUCUUAUUACUAGUUUUAACAUAAUAGCCUCCAUAUUUUUAUGGAGUUACUUAAUAGUGGUGAAGGG